GGCCUGGAUCGGCCGAGACGUUGCUAAUGCCAACCAAUUAUUUCCGGUUCAGCCGAAGAAGCCGAGAGAGGGGCGCAUGCGCGGACAGAGGUCUGACCCGCACCACUGCAGCUGUCCUCCAGGAGCAUCUGAGCUGCUUCCAUCUGGAUUUCAAAGGCCUUGGUUUCAGGCUGCAGCAUUUCACAGGAGGUGUCGUCCAGCCAAGAGAAAUAGCAAAUUCAAUGCUGCCUUAGAAAACAGGGUUGAAACGGAUCUGUGGAUUUUCACUUUGAUCUUUGGACCAUAAACACCACCGAGGAUGCGAGAGGGGUUUAGAUCAAGACCCUUCGAACAGAUUCUGGCAGUAUAAAACAGUAUCGCCCAUGUCUAUAUCAGGGUUCAGUAAUCCACUGUCUAAAAGAAGUGGCUAAUCACCCUCCUGUGAGGGCUGACCACUGUCAAGACACAGGAGACGCAGUGAUAGCAUGUGGUCUUUAGCAAAAGUCUACUCAGAAAGCCAGUCUUCACCAUGUGUCAUGAGACAGGUAUUUUGAUGGAUUUUUUUGUUUUAACAGCUGCAUUUAAGAUCUUGAUGCUAUGAACUUUAGAGUAGAAUGAACCAUUCUGAGCAUCCAAAAUAUGAGAAAACUUGCAAUUCCCACAAAAUAAAUGAAAGAUCUGUCAUGAUUUGCUUAAUGUAAUUCUAUUUUUAUUUGAUUUUUUUAAACAUUUUAUAAAUAAUGUUUACUCCCCUUGUGUGCUGAAUGUAAGACUAUAAAGCCUUUAACAGACUGGAGAGCUGACAGAUAGUAAUGCCCUGGCACUGCCCGCUGUGGCCUGUUAUCUGUGAGAAGUUUCCAGGCUUAAACCGAGCUUUGCACUCAGCAAAAUAAGACUUUUCCACACCUGGCUCUGGUUGCACGGAAUAGACACAUGGAUUCCAUUCCAGAGACUGAGGACUUGUCCUGCUUUAAGUCACCAGCACAUGUUUUCCAUUGAGCUUCCUGUUGCAUGUCAAAAAAGAAAAAAAGGAAAAAAAAAAAAGAACAUAAUUUCUGAAGUAUUAAUAAAUUUCAGACAAAAUUGCUCGGUUGUGCUUGGUUAAGUUGCAGGUUGAAUAAGUUUAUUAAACUUGUAUUAAACAGUAUAAAAGUUGUAAAUUAGAUCUUUGCUGAGCCAACACAACAAAACAAAUCAUUUCAACAAUUUUUUUACAGUGUACAUCUGCAAUAAAUGUGCAUAAAAUGACAUAAUGUGGUAUAAAAUGGCAUUAUUUUAUCAACUAUAUCCAUCUUUCUGGUUUAUAUUAAAGAUUAUUUUAACACUAUCACUUAUUUAAGACACUAUGUCAUACACAAGAUACGCAAUCCGUAACAUUUAAAGCAGUAUGAACAGAUGAUCUCCUGGAACUGAAAGUCAGUCUAUAGAAUUAGUGCUGGUUCUCUAGGGACUGUUCAAAUUGGGGAACAGUUUAGCUCAGAUGGCAGAUGUGAAGCUUAAUGGUGGAGUGUAGCAAAAAUAGGCCACAAGACAGUGAUUUACCCGUGCUCCUCUCACCCUCCUUGCCCUGUGUGUGAAAGCAAAAGUCCCUUCUUCUCUGACCAUUUACCCCUUGCUGAUAAGACCAGCACUAGAAUGGGAUGUUGCUGUGCUUGUGACCUAUCCAGGUUUCUUAACUAGUUUAACCAGCAAUUCCUCCUUGAUCAACCAGCUUUAACAGAAAGGUUAAGUUGGUUGACACCAUGCCUAUAAUGGUCCAUCAGCACCAAACCAGCAUAAACUGGCCUGUACCAGCAAGAACUUCUAGCCAAUAAGUAUCAACAGAAAGGCCAUUCUGAGCUUGAUUUCUCACAUAACCAACUAACUUGCUGCUUAACUACCAUACUUCAAUGCACCACUGGAAAAAUGUACUAGCUAGUCAUGACAGCUUCCCAAAGCUGUAGUGUCGCACAUCCGUCAAUUGAACCAUUGGUUCAAUAAUAUAAAAACUGUUGUUUGAUGACAUGGUAACAAACAUAGCAUCUGAAGACUGCUUUGUUACUUUUUUGUUCUCCUCUGUGUUACUUUAUUUCUAAUUGUGAUUCAGUUGUGGGUUCCCUAUCACAUUACACUGCUCUAGGAUAUAGAGUGCUGCAGUGAUGACUGGCAU
Long non-coding RNA from Cyprinus carpio (common carp), 2128 nucleotides. RefSeq lists it as uncharacterized. Lineage: Eukaryota; Metazoa; Chordata; Actinopteri; Cypriniformes; Cyprinidae. The record is from RefSeq and is a predicted model, not a curated record. The transcript has 3 exons.